This 460-nucleotide ribosomal RNA is filed under the name uncultured bacterium. Its description in RNAcentral is "partial 16S ribosomal RNA". It matches the Rfam family "Bacterial small subunit ribosomal RNA", at positions 338 to 795 of the family's 1533-position model. The record is from RNAcentral.
CCUACGGGUGGCAGCAGUGAGGAAUAUUGGUCAAUGGGCGCGAGCCUGAACCAGCCAAGUAGCGUGAAGGAUUACUGCCCUACGGGUUGUAAACUUCUUUUAUAAGGGAAUAAAGUGAUACACGUGUGCCAUUUUGUAUGUAGUUUAUGAAUAAGGAUCGGCUAACUCCGUGCCAGCAGCCGCGGUAAUACGGAGGAUCCGAGCGUUAUCCGGAUUUGUGGGGUUUAAAGGGAGCGUAGAUGGUUUGGUAAGUCAGGUGUGAAAGUUUGCGGCUCAACCGUAAAAUUGCAAUUGAAACUGGCAGACUUGAGUACAGUAGAGGUAGGCGGAAUUCGUGGUGUAGCGGUGAAAUGCUUAGAUAUCACGAAGAACUCCGAUUGCGAAGGCAGCUUACUAGACUGCAACUGACACUGAGGCUCGAAAGUGUGGGUAUCAAACAGGAUUAGAUACCCCAGUAGUC